CCUACGGGAGGCUGCAGUGGGGAAUAUUGGGCAAUGGGCGCAAGCCUGACCCAGCAACGCCGCGUGAAGGAAGAAGGCUUUCGGGUUGUAAACUUCUUUUAAGAGGGAAGAGCAGAAGACGGUACCUCUUGAAUAAGCUACGGCUAACUACGUGCCAGCAGCUGCGGUAAUACGUAGGUGGCAAGCGUUGUCCGGAUUUACUGGGUGUAACGGGCGUGCAGCCGGGAAGACAAGUCAGAUGUGAAAUCCCGCGGCUCAACCGCGGAACUGCAUUUGAAACUGUUUUUCUUGAGUACCGGAGAGGUCAGCGGAAUUCCUGGUGUAGCGGUGAAAUGCGUAGAUAUAAGGAAGAACACCAAUGGCGAAGGCAGAUGACUGGACGGCAACUGACGGUGAGGCGCGAAAGCGUGGGGAGCAAACAGGAUUAGAUACCCCGGUAGUC
This 442-nucleotide ribosomal RNA is filed under the name uncultured bacterium. Its description in RNAcentral is "partial 16S ribosomal RNA". It matches the Rfam family "Bacterial small subunit ribosomal RNA", at positions 338 to 795 of the family's 1533-position model. The record is from RNAcentral.